RNAcentral lists this ribosomal RNA (429 nucleotides) under Chloroflexota bacterium. Its description in RNAcentral is "Chloroflexi bacterium partial 16S ribosomal RNA". It matches the Rfam family "Bacterial small subunit ribosomal RNA", at positions 355 to 776 of the family's 1533-position model. Lineage: Bacteria; Bacillati; Chloroflexota. The record is from RNAcentral.
UGGGGAAUAUUGCACAAUGGGCGCAAGCCUGAUGCAGCCAUGCCGCGUGUAUGAAGAAGGCCUUCGGGUUGUAAAGUACUUUCAGCGGGGAGGAAGGGAGUAAAGUUAAUACCUUUGCUCAUUGACGUUACCCGCAGAAGAAGCACCGGCUAACUCCGUGCCAGCAGCCGCGGUAAUACGGAGGGUGCAAGCGUUAAUCGGAAUUACUGGGCGUAAAGCGCACGCAGGCGGUUUGUUAAGUCAGAUGUGAAAUCCCCGGGCUCAACCUGGGAACUGCAUCUGAUACUGGUAAGCUUGAGUCUCGUAGAGGGGGGUAGAAUUCCAGGUGUAGCGGUGAAAUGCGUAGAGAUCUGGCGGAAUACCGGUGGCGAAGGCGGCCCCCUGGACGAAGACUGACGCUCAGGUGCGAAAGCGUGGGGAGCAAACAGG